This 492-nucleotide ribosomal RNA is filed under the name uncultured bacterium. RNAcentral's name for it is "partial 16S ribosomal RNA". It matches the Rfam family "Bacterial small subunit ribosomal RNA", at positions 29 to 507 of the family's 1533-position model. The record is from RNAcentral.
AGUGAACGCUGGCGGUAGGCCUAACACAUGCAAGUUGAACGGCAGCACAGUAAGAGCUUGCUCUUACGGGUGGCGAGUGGCGGACGGGUGAGGAAUACAUCGGAAUCUACUUUUUCGUGGGGGAUAACGUAGGGAAACUUACGCUAAUACCGCAUACGACCUACGGGUGAAAGCAGGGGAUCUUCGGACCUUGCGCGAUUGAAUGAGCCGAUGUCGGAUUAGCUAGUUGGCGGAGUAAAGGCCCACCAAGGCGACGAUCCGUAGCUGGUCUGAGAGGAUGAUCAGCCACACUGGAACUGAGACACGGUCCAGACUCCUACGGGAGGCAGCAGUGGGGAAUAUUGGACAAUGGGCGCAAGCCUGAUCCAGCCAUACCGCGUGGGUGAAGAAGGCCUUCGGGUUGUAAAGCCCUUUUGUUGGGAAAGAAAAGCAGCAGGUUAAUACCCCGCUGUUCUGACGGUACCCAAAGAAUAAGCACCGGCUAACUUCGUG